This is a long non-coding RNA of Homo sapiens (human), 877 nucleotides long. NCBI's taxonomy places the organism in Eukaryota, Metazoa, Chordata, Mammalia, Primates, Hominidae. The record is from Ensembl.
AGAUUUGCAUAUUUUGGCAUCCAGUGGAAAAGGAAAGAAGAACGGAACCCGCAGCCUUUAAAGGAACCGCACAGGCUGUAGCGUCACCCAGGGAGGCGGUGGGGGUGGGGGUGGGGGCCUGAAAAAUUAGCCAGCGGCUCUGGCCUCUGGCCGUAGAGCCCGGCAGCAGGGAGGGCCAGGGAGGGGCGGCAACCAGCGAGCUUCGGGCGCGCCAGUCCCAGACCUGGCCCCUCCAGAGUGCUUCCUGCUGCGCGUGCACCCGGAGGCUGCGGAGGGUCUCCACGGGUUCCUGCCUGGGGCCGGGAGACGCUGUGGGGUCCGCGGUCCUGGGCGAGCUGCAGGCCCGAAGGCUGCAGUGCCCAUGUCUCCCCGCGCGAGGCAGAGCUCAGCCUGCGGGGGUGGUGGGAAGGAAGUGAGAGGCCUCCGGGCCGCCCAGCUCAACUCCGGAGGACCCCACCGUGAUGCACCCACUUUCCACCUGUCAGGAUCUCUCCCCAGGAGGGGCUGCAGAGUGAGGAGCUAGAAGCCCUUAUCCUGUUCGACUGGGGCCUGAGUUGGGAAAGGCAGAGGCAGUGGAAGCAUUUGGGAUCCUUAAGCUUCCAGGGCCCCAGAGGCUGUGGAGUGCAGCCACUCCCAACUGGAGGAGACGGCCUCUCUCCCAACACUUUUCGGCACGCUGGACUUGUUGCUUCCAAGUAGAAGAGCAUGGGGCAAGGUUUGCUGACCUGCACCAGGGCUUGCUUACCCGUCAGCAAGAUUGGAUAGGAGUCUGGGGACACGAUUCCUUCCCUCUCCUUUCUACUAGUUCUUUGCAUAAAACGGGAGCCUUCAAUUCAAUUAAAGUCUUCAUUAAAGCUUCACUGUGACCUUGGGCAAA